This 303-nucleotide ribosomal RNA is filed under the name uncultured bacterium. RNAcentral describes it as "partial 16S ribosomal RNA". It matches the Rfam family "Bacterial small subunit ribosomal RNA", at positions 507 to 807 of the family's 1533-position model. The record is from RNAcentral.
AGCAGCCGCCGCGGGAAUACGGAGGAUCCAAGCGUUAUCCGGAAUCAUUGGGUUUAAAGGGUCCGUAGGCGGUCUUGUAAGUCAGUGGUGAAAGCCCAUCGCUCAACGGUGGAACGGCCAUUGAUACUGCAGGACUUGAAUUAUUGGGAAGUAACUAGAAUAUGUAGUGUAGCGGUGAAAUGCUUAGAGAUUACAUGGAAUACCAAUUGCGAAGGCAGGUUACUACCAAUUGAUUGACGCUGAUGGACGAAAGCGUGGGUAGCGAACAGGAUUAGAUACCCCGGUAGUCCCUGUCUCUUAUAC